GGUCAAGCUACUAAGGCGCGCGGUGGAUGCCUAGGCAUCAGGAGCCGAAGAAGGACGUGGUAAGGCUGCGAUAAGCUCCGCUCAGCUGUCAAACAAGCUCAGGCGGAGAUUUCCGAAUGGGGAAACCCGGCCCGGGACUACCGGGUCACUCCAGGUUGAACACAUAGACCUGGUAGAGGGAACUGGGGGAACUGAAACAUCUAAGUACCCCGAGGAAAAGAGAUUAUUCCCUGAGUAGCGGCGAGCGAACGGGGAAAAGCCCAAACCGGUUGGGUUCGCCCAGCCGGGGUUGUAGGACCUGCUGGCUUUCGGGCACGGAGUUACCAAUCGCAAGCGAAGACGAACGGCACUGGAACGGCCGGCCAGAGAGGGUGAGAGCCCCGUAGGCGAAUGGCUUGCGACUCCGAGCAGGCACCUGAGUACCACGGGACACGUGAAACCCUGUGGGAAUCUGGGGAGACCACUUCCCAAGGCUAAAUACUCCUGGUGACCGAUAGUGGACAAGUACCGUGAGGGAAAGGUGAAAAGUACCCCGGGAGGGGAGUGAAAGAGAUCCUGAAACCGUGUGCUUACGUGCAGUCGGAGCCCGUUACGACGGGUGACGGCGUGCCUAUUGAAGAAUGAGCCGGUGAGUUACGCUACGUCGCAAGGUUAAGUGACGGAAGUCAUGGAGCCGUAGCGAAAGCGAGUCCGAACAGGGCGAUUGAGUGGCGUGGAGUAGACGCGAAACCUGGUGAUCUACCCAUGGGCAGCGUGAAGUCCGGGUAAAACCGGAUGGAGGCGCGAACCUUCUUGUGUUGCAAAACGAUUGGAUGACUUGUGGGUAGCGGUGAAAUGCCAAACGAACCAGGAGAUAGCUCGUUCUCCCCGAAAUGCAUUUAGGUGCAGCCUUGGAAAUAUCUCCGGCGGAGGUAGAGCUCUGGAUGGGCUAGGGGGCUUACCGCCUACCAAACCCAACCAAACUGCGAAUGCCGCCGGACAAAGUCCGGGAGUGAGACAGUGGGGGAUAAGCUCCAUUGUCGAAAGGGAAACAGCCCAGACCACCAGCUAAGGUCCCAAAGUUCACGCUCAGUGUACAAGGAUGUUGAAUUGCAAAAACAGCCAGGAGGUUGGCUUAGAAGCAGCCACCCUUUAAAGAGUGCGUAACAGCUCACUGGUCGAGUGAUUCUGCGCCGAGAAUUCAACGGGGCUAAGCGUGACACCGAAGCUGUGGGUCAUCCGCAUUAGGCGGAUGGCGGUAGGGGAGCGUUCGUUUCAGCCGAGAAGGGGUAGCUGCGAGGCGCCCUGGAGCGGAGCGAAGUGAGAAUGCCGGCAUGAGUAGCGUAAGGUGCGUGAGAACCGCACCCGCCGUAAACCUAAGGUUUCCUACGGAAGGUCAGUCCGCGUAGGGUUAGUCGGGCCUAAGCCGAGGCCGAGAGGCGUAGGCGAUGGACAGCUGGUUAGUAUUCCAGCACCACGAUGGUCGCGUUAUAACGCAGAGGGGGGACCCGGAAGGGUAGAUCCCGCGGACCUAAUGGAUAUGGUCCGUUCUUGGGCCGUAGGCGUCCGGAGGCAGGUAAAUCCACCUCCGGGAUAAGCUGAGGACUCGAGAGAAGUAGAGACUUUUGUCAAAGCGACGGGGUUGAGCCCAGGCCGGCGAGAAAAGCCUCGCUGCCAGUAACCAACGUGCCCGUACCGCAAACCGACACUGGUAGGUGGCGGUAAGUACCGUGAGGCGAACGGGAGAACCUUCGUUAAGGAACUCGGCAAAUUGGAUCCGUAACUUCGGGAGAAGGAUCGCCCUCGGCUGUGAACCGGCAUGCCCGGUGAGCGGUAGAGGGCCGCAGUGAGCAGGCCCAGGCGACUGUUUACCAAAACCACAGGUCUCUGCAAAAGCGAAAGCUGACGUAUAGGGGCUGACGCCUGCCCAGUGCCGGAAGGUUAAGGGGAGAGGUGAGAGCUUCGAACCGAAGCCCCGGUGAACGGCGGCCGUAACUAUAACGGUCCUAAGGUAGCGAAAUUCCUUGUCGGGUAAGUUCCGACCCGCACGAA
RNAcentral lists this ribosomal RNA (2031 nucleotides) under Chloroflexota bacterium. Its description in RNAcentral is "Chloroflexi bacterium partial 23S ribosomal RNA". It matches the Rfam family "Bacterial large subunit ribosomal RNA", at positions 1 to 1996 of the family's 2925-position model. The record is from RNAcentral. Lineage: Bacteria; Bacillati; Chloroflexota.